GGCGAUCCAAAAGUCACAAAAUUUUCGUACUGAUCAUUGUAAACAGCGCCAGAGCCUUUCCAAAUUUUUUGUGCGCCUGUAUGAGAAAGUUGCUCAAUCGUGAAAGAAACGGCGAGAAUACUCUCUGAGCAUUCGUAUGAACGCUCUGAGUGUUUGGGUCUUAGGGAAUCUCCCCCUUAGACUUUCUUCUCCAUUAUUUGUGGAUAUUUUGCUUCUAGAUGUGGAUGAGUGUUUAGACUAUGCCACCAUAUGCCCUCUGGGAAGCUGUGUGAACACACUGGGGUCCUAUUUCUGUGCAGAGAUUCCAGCGGGAUUGCAGACCACAGGCCUCCCUUGGGAAACACAGGCAGCACAUGGGAACUGGAUGCCAUUCCAGCCAACAUCAGUAAUGCCCCAGACAUCUGAGUCACUGACUACUGGUGACUACUUAAGUGGUGCUACAUGGGCAGAACUGAGAUGUACUGACUGCACUUGCCAGGUAGGUACCCGUAUACAGAAGCCAAAUACAAUCCCUUUGUAUAAUGCAUACUUGUUUGUUAAAUUAAGUCAUUUCUCAGGAUGGAAAUGUAUCUUGUGAAAAAAGGAUAUGCACCCCAAACAGUUCACACCCCGUCAUGUAUCUUGACAGCUGACGGAUGCCUUUUUGAGGGAGUUUCUGGGGUAGAUGGAGAGCUUUUCCCAAAUUCUCCAGACAAUUGCACAAUCUGCAUCUGCCUGGCUGGAAAUGUCACAUGUAUCCCUCCUGUGUGCCCUCCUGUUACAUGCACUGACCCCUUCCUAUCAGACUGC
Xenopus tropicalis (tropical clawed frog) is the source of this 789-nucleotide long non-coding RNA. RefSeq lists it as uncharacterized. The record is from RefSeq and is a predicted model, not a curated record. The transcript is spliced from 4 exons. Lineage: Eukaryota; Metazoa; Chordata; Amphibia; Anura; Pipidae.